CUGUGAUACGUGAAGCAUUACAGAGGAGAUAGAGAGAGAGAACGAAAAGGGCAGAGAGGAGGAGCUUCCAAUCCACCCCCGACUCGCCGCUGCCGCUGUCCCGCCAUACUCCAGCAGAUUGAAGGAAAAGAGCACAGAAGUUGAUGACAUAACUUGUGUCCACCAUGGCUUUGUUAACGAAGAUGCGGUUAAGAAGACAUAUUCCUGAUUGUUUCUGUAGGUGCUGAUGGCUCCUGGACCUUGUUUACAGAGGUCCCUUGAAAUAAUUAUCUCCUAUUUAACAAACAAUUCUAUGGAUUGGAAAACCAAA
Non-coding RNA from Camellia sinensis, 310 nucleotides. Lineage: Eukaryota; Viridiplantae; Streptophyta; Magnoliopsida; Ericales; Theaceae. The record is from RefSeq and is a predicted model, not a curated record.